ACUCAAAUGAAUAGACGGGGGCCCGCACAAGCGGUGGAGCAUGUGGUUUAAUUCGACGCAACGCGAAGAACCUUACCUGGGUUAGACAACGGUGGACCGUUCCAGAGAUGGAGCUUUCCCUUCGGGGACCGCCGGUUCAGGUGCUGCAUGGCUGUCGUCAGCUCGUGUCGUGAGAUGUUGGGUUAAGUCCCGCAACGAGCGCAACCCUUGCCUCUAGUUGCCAGCAUUUAGUUGGGCACUUUAGAGGGACUGCCGGCGUUAAGCCGGAGGAAGGUAGGGAUGACGUCAAGUCCUCAUGGCCCUUAUGCCCAGGGCUACACACGUGCUACAAUGGUCGGUACAAAGGGCUGCAAACUCGCGAGGGGAAGCAAAUCCCAUAAAGCCGGCCUCAGUUCGGAUUGGAGUCUGCAACUCGACUCCAUGAAGUUGGAAUCGCUAGUAAUCGCGGAUCAGCACGCCGCGGUGAAUACGUUCCCGGGCCUUGUACACACCGCCCGU
RNAcentral lists this ribosomal RNA (498 nucleotides) under uncultured bacterium. RNAcentral describes it as "partial 16S ribosomal RNA". It matches the Rfam family "Bacterial small subunit ribosomal RNA", at positions 899 to 1397 of the family's 1533-position model. The record is from RNAcentral.